GAAAUGAUUGGAGAAGAAAAUGAAACGAUAAGUUAAAGAAGUUUGCCCCAUUAGGGAGCAUUGGAAACAUUCACUCUUACAGUUACCGAGUAUUUGCCAGUUGUUAACCAUAAGUUUAAUAUUAAAUCUAUAUUUAUCGUUGUUUUGUUUCAUGUCUAUUGUAUGCGAUGUAAGCACAAUCUUGAGUCAGUUUUAUUCCCAGCAGUCCUUUACUGGAAAGGAAGGGAUGGUAGUACGGUACUAACACAAUUUUAUUCAACUCCCAACUAGUCCGCUCAUUGAAAAAAAGAGAGGAAAAAUUCAAGCCCAACUGGGAGCUUCUUUUGUGGAUCUCUAAGUUUGCAUCAAACUAUGUUCGGUUAAGGAUCUCUUCACCUUUUUGUUGCAACAAUUUUGAUUUCUCUAUUACUUUCCCCAUGCAGUUAAAGAGGUUAGAGCUGAAGCUGAAGCAGUUCGCAGAGGUGGAGACCUUGUUAAUGAAAGAAUGUGAACAACUGGAGAGAACAAGGCAACGGUUUGCUGCAGAGCGUGCUCGGAUGAUGACAGUUCAACCUGGUUCAGUUCGAGUAUCCCGACCAAUGGGUGUGUCUGGUGCUGGUUCACCUGUGGUCAGUAACACAGGAAAUAGUAGGCAACAAGUUGCUUCAGGUCCUCUACAACAAAGUUUUAUUUCUGGAUAUGGAAACAACCAACCAAUGCAUCCCCACAUGUCAUUUAUGCAGCAACAAGGGAUGUAUGGAUUUGGCCCUCGGCUGCCUCUCUCAGCGAUACACCCGUCCUCUUCAACACCCGGUAUGUUUAAUGCUCAUUUGCUGCAGAACGUGCUCGGAUGAUGACAGUUCAACCUGGUUCAGUUCGAGUAUCCCGACCAAUGGGUGUGUCUGGUGCUGGUGCACCAGUGGUCAGUAACACAGGAAAUAGUAGGCAACAAGCUGUUUCGGGUCCUCUACAACAAAAUUUUAUUUCUGGAUAUGGAAACAACCAACCAAUGCAUCCUCACAUGUCAUUUAUGCCGCAACAAGGGAUGUAUAGAUU
RNAcentral lists this long non-coding RNA (1035 nucleotides) under Nicotiana benthamiana. RNAcentral's name for it is "long non-coding RNA (NBEN_LNC027829)". Lineage: Eukaryota; Viridiplantae; Streptophyta; Magnoliopsida; Solanales; Solanaceae. The record is from RNAcentral.